RNAcentral lists this ribosomal RNA (216 nucleotides) under uncultured bacterium. Its description in RNAcentral is "partial 16S ribosomal RNA". It matches the Rfam family "Bacterial small subunit ribosomal RNA", at positions 524 to 739 of the family's 1533-position model. The record is from RNAcentral.
UACGUAGGGCGCAAGCGUUGUCCGGAAUUAUUGGGCGUAAAGAGCUCGUAGGCGGUCUGUCGCGUCGGUUGUGAAAACACAAGGCUCAACCUUGUGCCUGCAAUCGAUACGGGCAGACUAGAGUACUGCAGGGGAGACUGGAAUUCCUGGUGUAGCGGUGGAAUGCGCAGAUAUCAGGAGGAACACCGGUGGCGAAGGCGGGUCUCUGGGCCGUAA